This 253-nucleotide ribosomal RNA is filed under the name uncultured bacterium. RNAcentral describes it as "partial 16S ribosomal RNA". It matches the Rfam family "Bacterial small subunit ribosomal RNA", at positions 524 to 776 of the family's 1533-position model. The record is from RNAcentral.
UACAGAGGGGGCAAGCGUUGUUCGGAAUUACUGGGCGUAAAGGGCGCGUAGGCGGCCUGCUAAGUCGAACGUGAAAUCCCCGGGCUCAACCCGGGAACUGCGUCCGAUACUGGCAGGCUUGAAUUCGGGAGAGGGAUGCGGAAUUCCAGGUGUAGCGGUGAAAUGCGUAGAUAUCUGGAGGAACACCGGUGGCGAAGGCGGCAUCCUGGACCGAGAUUGACGCUGAUGCGCGAAAGCCAGGGGAGCAAACGGG